This is a long non-coding RNA of Pristis pectinata (smalltooth sawfish), 3501 nucleotides long. RefSeq lists it as uncharacterized. The record is from RefSeq and is a predicted model, not a curated record. The transcript has 7 exons. Lineage: Eukaryota; Metazoa; Chordata; Chondrichthyes; Rhinopristiformes; Pristidae.
UCUAUCUUGGCCGCGGGCGGGGUUUUUUCCCCGCACUCCCGGGUCGCCGUUUAGUGCGGCAAGUGGUAGUGAGGGGGGAGGUCGGGGAUCAGGGAGUGGGAGGCUGUGCGUGCUCCGCUCUCCGUGAGCCCGGCCCCGGGGGACGGGAGGUCCCGGAGGCGGCGGUGGUUCCCAGUGGGUUUCCGGCGGCCGCACGCAGGGCUGCAGCAGUUAGCGUGCAGCGUCUCGACGAGAAUUAUUGAAAGGCCUGAAUCAAGUUGGAUGCGUCAAGAGAAAACCAGCGUUCAUUAUGGAAAGGUUCUAAAGUUCCCUGGAUCUUAUGAGAGAUGGUAUGUGCUUUGUUAUUGGAUUGUUUUCUCUGGAGCAUCAGAAGCUGAGGAAGCAUUUGAACUUUUCCUGAAGGCCCUACAGAAGGAACAGACAGAACAAAUGGAGGAUUGAAGAUAUGGGAUAAAACCUUGAUGUAUUUUGAGUUUGGAGAAAUGCUACUGAGAGGAUCUCCAAGAGAAUGCACACUUGUCAUCAUGACUAUAGACCUUUUGCAUCUAUCAGCUUCCAGUCUCCAGUGACAAAGUCACAGACACUACAUCAGGUGAAAUCCCCCCUCCUCCACUCCACCUCCCCAUUAAAAACAAUAAUGUUUUUAAAUCGCCUGAGAAAUUGCUCCAAGACCAGUUUUCUACCCAACGCUACAAACCAUAAUACAAGAGAAAUAAAGGACUGCAGUGGCUGGAAUCCAGAUGGAAAAACAAGAUGCUGGAGGAACUCAGGCCAGGCAGCAUCCGUGGAGGAAAGAAGUGUCAACGUUUUGGGUCAGGAUCCUUCUUCAGGACUGAAGCAAAGUGAUGAAAGAUGUCGAUGACAACACCAUCAAGUUGCACUUACUGACAAGCUGCUCACCAAUGCUCAGUUUGGAUUUUACACGUCUGUUUGGCUCAGUCUCAAAGCCGAGAGCUAAAUUCCAGAGAUGAAGUUAAAAAGACUGCUCUAGAUACCAAAGCAACACCUGACUGAGUGUGGCACCAAGGAGCCCAGGUAAAACUGAAGUCAACGAGCAUCAAGGGAAAACAUUCUAAUGGCUGUUGUUGUUGGAGGUUAACAACAUUACUACAGGAGUUCCUCAGAGUGGUGUCCUUGACCCAGUCAUCUUCAGCUUUCGUCAAUGACCUUGUCUGUUGAGGACUGUGGGGGAAUGGGACAGAUGGGAAUGCUCAGGAAGCCAGCGUAAAUGGCCUCCUAUAUUGUUAUGAGAUAUGAAACUCAAUUCCAUUCGCAACUCCUCAGCAAAUGAGCAGGUCCAUACUUGUAUUGCAGCAAGAUGUUGACAACAUACUGCCAUGAGCUGGUAAGUGGCAAGUAACAAACAUGCCACAAAAGUGCCAGGCAAUGACCAGUUCCAUUAAGAGAAAGUCUAACCCUACUUUUGAUAGUCAAUGACAUACCAGUGCUCAAGACACUCUCCAUCAACAUUCUAGGAAUCACCAUUGACUAGAAAUUCAAUUGGAUCAGUGCUCUCAUAUACACACACACAAUAUAUCUUCAUUUUGUUAUUUGUCACUUACUGUGCAACCCUGGGUGAAUGUUUAGAAAAUUAUUUGGAUUAUCUAUUUGAAAAGGUAAACACUUCAGCAGUUGCACCUCACCCACAGAACCUAUCUUCAUCCACAUUUCUAUAAAGACAAAAAUAAAACUACACCCUUGAAUAUUGAAUUUUUGAUGUUCAUCAUCUAUUUUGGAUUAUUGUAGAUAUGUAUUUGGAAUCCCCAAAGGACAAAACAAAACUUAGGGUCACUCAAAUAUUCAUUGAUCCAAGUUAAAUGACUCUUCAUCUGAGAUGUUACAAUCAUAAAACUUCUGAAUGAGUCUGAGUCUUUCUUUUAAAAAUCAUUAACAUUGUCCUCAACAAACCCAAAAAACUGGAAGACACCAGCCUGUCUCUUGCCUUCUACUCCACGUGUUAUGGGAUUCCACCAUCAGCUUAAUCUGCACAAACUGCUGUUAAUUCUUUGCUCACUCUAGGACAAGUAGUUGGCUGCUGCCUCAGUGGACAAGCCUCCAAAUAAAAUAAUUGGCGAAGAUCUCUCAAAGAAACAUGGAUAUUUUUAAAUUUGUGCAGUAUUGUGUGCAGUUCUGGUCACCUAACUAUAGGAAGGAUAUCAGUAAGAUUGAAAGAGUGCAGAGGAGAUUUACUAGAAUGUUGCCGGGUCUUCAGGAGUUGAGUCACAGGGAAAGAUUGAACAGGUUAGGACUUUAUUCCUUGGCGCGCAGAAGAAUGAAGGGAGAUUUGAUAGAGGUUUACAAAAUUAUGAGGGGUAUAGACAGAGUAAAUAUGAGUGGGCUCUUUCCACCUAGAUUAGGAGAGAUAAGAACGAGAGGACAUGGCUUUAGGGUGAAAGGGAAAAGGUUUAGGGGGAACAUUAGGGGGAACUUCUUUACUCAAAGAGUGGUGGGAAUAUGGAACGGGCUGCCAUCUGAUGUAGUAAAUGCGGGCUAACUCUUAAGUUUUAGGAAUAAAUUGGAUAGAUACAUGGACGGGAGAGGUCUGGAGGGUUAUGGACUGGGUGCAGGUAAAUGGGACUAGCAGAAUAAUGUUUCAGCAGAUUAGAAGGGCCGCAUGGCCUGUUUUCUGUGCUGUAGUGUUCUAUGGUUCUAAAAAUCUCUAUGUACACACACACAGCAUGGAUGUUUUGGAGGAUACAGGUAUUCUCCAAUACCUCAGGCAAACAUCCACUUGACCCUGGGGAGUGAAGAGAAGAAAUACAUCACCGGAUAAGAGGAAGACCAAACUCACCCAUGUCUAUAGUUCAUGCUUUUAAAACAGGGCCACUGACUCACAACCAAGAGUAGAAAUGCUGCUAACUUACAUCUCCCUAAUACACGAGUGCCAAGGCCAGUUGCAGUGACCAAAUCAGUUUGCCUUUGCAAAACAGUGAACAACUUCACUGAAGCCCUGUGAGAAGCCGAAUGAAAUUUUAUUCUAAAAUGCAUUUGUUUUGUAGUUUGUACCAUUUUAGGCUCUGGUGUUCAUUUUAUGAAGUAGUAUAUUUUUCUUGACUUCUUCCCAUUUAGACCUAAUGAUAACACUUUAUCAGUUUCCCAAAGGAUAUUCCACAUAUCAAGAGCAAUUUCUCCCUUCCAAGUAAAUGUUUAAUGUAAUAUUCCAUUGCCAAUGAUAACUUUUCAGCAAUCUAAUACCAAUAUUAAUUUAAAAUCCAAUAUAACAGAGCAACAGAGGAAUAAUUACUUAAACAUAAGAAAUUGAUCGCAUACCUUGUAUACCUGGUCCUUACACAGAAAGGCAAAAGAAAAUCUCAUCUUCAAUUGCCUCCCUCUUGUUAUUCUCUCAUUAACCUUUUCCACUGAUCACACAGCUUGUUCCUCGCAGCAUCUCACAUCUCCCGAAAAGCACCGUAAACCCAACUUGAUAUGUAAUUCAUACUCAACUUUCCAUUAAACCAGACAAAUUCCUUAUCAAGUUAUUAUAUCAUUAUGUGUUGCUUC